UCGAGAAUUUUUCUCAAUGGGCGCAAGCCUGAAGGAGCGACGCCGCGUGGAGGAUGAAGGUCUUCGGAUUGUAAACUCCUGUCAUUUGGGAACAAACCCUCCGGUUAACUGCCGGAAGGCUGAUAGUACCAGAAGAGGAAGGGACGGCUAACUCUGUGCCAGCAGCCGCGGUAAUACAGAGGUCUCAACCGUUGUUCGGAUUCAUUGGGCGUAAAGGGUGCGUAGGCGGUCGCGUAAGUCAGGUGUGAAAUCCCGGGGCUCAACCCUGGAACUGCACUUGAUACUGCGUGGCUAGGAUACUGGAGAGGAGACUGGAAUUUACGGUGUAGCAGUGAAAUGCGUAGAUAUCGUAAGGAAGACCAGUGGCGAAGGCGAGUCUCUGGACAGUUAUCGACGCUGA
This 400-nucleotide ribosomal RNA is filed under the name uncultured bacterium. RNAcentral describes it as "bacterial SSU rRNA". It matches the Rfam family "Bacterial small subunit ribosomal RNA", at positions 355 to 749 of the family's 1533-position model. The record is from RNAcentral.